GAUGAACGCUGGCGGCGUGCCUAAUACAUGCAAGUCGAGCGAACGGACGAGAAGCUUGCUUCUCUGAUGUUAGCGGCGGACGGGUGUGUAACACGUGGAUAACCUCCCUAUAGGACUGGGAUAACUUCGGGAAACCGGAGCUAAUACCGGAUAAUAUUUUGAACCGCAUGGUUCAAAAGUGAAAGACGGUCUUGCUGUCACUUCUAGAUGGAUCCGCGCUGCAUUAGCUAGUUGGUAAGGUAACGGCUUACCAAGGCAACGAUGCGUAGCCGACCUGAGAGGGUGAUCGGCCACACUGGAACUGAGACACGGUCCAGACUCCUACGGGAGGCAGCAGUAGGGAAUCUUCCGCAAUGGGCGAAAGCCUGACGGAGCAACGCCGCGUGAGUGAUGAAGGUCUUCGGAUCGUAAAACUCUGUUAUGAGGGAAGAACAUAUGUGUAAGUAACUGUGCACAGCUUGACGGUACCUAAUCAGAAAGCCACGGCUAACUACGUG
This 497-nucleotide ribosomal RNA is filed under the name uncultured bacterium. Its description in RNAcentral is "partial 16S ribosomal RNA". It matches the Rfam family "Bacterial small subunit ribosomal RNA", at positions 28 to 507 of the family's 1533-position model. The record is from RNAcentral.